GAACAAUUCCCCAUGGUCUCUAUUUGCUGCAAAUAAACUUUACUUUGUGUGACAACUACUUCUGGUGAAGGCGCUGAUUUCAACUCACCAACAAGGGGACCCACUUUGGUUCGGUAACAUUACCGUUAUCAUCUGCUGACAUACUGCAUGGUUUGCUUCUUUAUUCGGUUUCUUGUCCGCCUCCCCCACUAGAAUGUGAGCUCCUUGAAGGCAAAGAUUUCUGUCUGCCUUGUUCACUGCUAUGCAGCCACUUCCUAGAACAGUGCCAGCACUUCUGAGGUCCUCAAAUAUUCAUUGAAUGAAUGAAAUGUUUUGUGUGGGCUUUCUCAUUGAAUUUUCAGCACCAUCAAGGAGAGGACAGUAAGCAUGACUAAAGUCUCCCACCAUCUUCCAGACGCCUUGGACUCAGGGAGAAACUGUUAUCAUGCCCAUGAGGAAACCAGAGAGGUGGGAUUACUUGUCCAAAGUCACACAGCUCGCUGGCUGUGGUUUAUUACGGAUGGAUCAGGCUGGCAACACAAGAAUCCAAGAUGGGAUCUCAUCACAAAACAGGAGACAACCAGAUGAUAAGUGGCUCCUGAUCGAAGAACUCAAGACCACCCAUAAAGUAUAUUUACCCUAAAAUUGAACCUGAA
Molecule: long non-coding RNA, 635 nt
Filed under: Equus asinus (donkey)
Lineage: Eukaryota; Metazoa; Chordata; Mammalia; Perissodactyla; Equidae
Description: lncRNA (ENSEASG00005029762.1)
Source: RNAcentral